Miniopterus natalensis is the source of this 594-nucleotide non-coding RNA. The record is from the annotation of a RefSeq genome assembly. Lineage: Eukaryota; Metazoa; Chordata; Mammalia; Chiroptera; Miniopteridae.
AUGCUCCUGCUACUCAUCCCAGUGCUUGAGAUGAUUUUUGCCCUGAGAGGAACCGGAGCGCAGUCAGCAACCCAGCCUGACAGCCAUGUCACCGUCUUUGAAAGAGAAGCACUAGAGCUGAAGUGCAAAUAUUCAACUUCUAGUUCACCAUAUCUCUUCUGGUACGUGCAGUACCCCAACCAAGGACUCCAGCUUGUCCUCAGGUACUUUUCAGGGGACACCCUGGUUAAAGGCAUCAAAGAUUUUGAGGCUGUCUUCAGGAAGAGUGACACUACUUUCCACCUGAAGAAACACUCAGUUUACUGGAAUGACUCGGCUGUGUACUUCUGUGCUGUGAGUGACACAGUGACUGAGACUGCAGGGGGAGCUGAACACAAACCUCCUGAGACACUGGGACUUUCUGUGACUCAAGAACUCAAUGUGGGGAGUUUUCAAGAAGGCCACAUUUUCCAAGGACAGGAUUCUUAUUGGUCUCCUCUUGGGCUCCUCCUUUCCUGUCCUUCACCAGAACUGACCUUCCUCUUGGGCAUCUUGUUGAAUGUGGUGCUUGCAGUCGGCAUGAUGCUAACUGAAUGCCAGCAAGCAGCCAAGUGA